UUACAAUUUAUUGUUAUUAAUUAAAAUAGACUAUGAGUCCUCUAGACCCAAACCUACACCCAAGCCCAACAGGCAGAAAAAAUAGUCCAAACUAUGGGUUUGCCGUUCAAACUAAACCAAUCACAGUCAACGGAACCAAUCACAGUCAACCGGGUCAGACACUGACCUGCAACUUAAAUAGGUCCAAACUGACCAAACACAGCCCGACGUCGCCGAAGCCACCACGACACCCACUGGCUGCAACCCAUCACUACCACGCAUGGUUGGUCUGCUGGUGCAACCACCAUCGUCACAACAGACCAGAACCCUAACACGUAGAAACCGACCACAAAAUAUCGCAGCGUGAUCGCGGGAUCAAACCCCAAAGAUGCAACAACACAGAUUCAAAAGAAUUCAAAACUGUCAAGAUUAGAGACGCAAAAACAGAAACAAAAUUCCCAAUUGAAAAGCAAACUCCCAAUUUGCAAGAGCAGAUUUCAAAAUCCCAAAUGAGAGUUCCCAAAUUUGAAAAUCCUAAUUUCAAGAUAGAAAAACAAACACAGAAAGUCCCAAAAAAACCUCCAAACAAAUACGCGACCAAAUCAUCAAGAUCACAAAAUUUCCCAAACCAGAAUUCUAACUCUCAAAACGCAAAUGGGAAACAAGUACAAGAGCUCUCAAAACACAAAUUUAGAAACAAGAAUAAAUCACCUAAAAGAGAAUUUUUGAACAAGAUCGGAAAUCCCCAAAACGCAACAGAGUCUCCUUCCUCGUGACUCAACCCAAAAUCACAAAAUCAGAAACCUCAAAAUCCCCAAAUCGAAACCCUAACGCGAACGCCAUGCACCGCGAGAACGCUCUCUCCUCUUACAUCAUGAGUCAGAACAAGAAAGGGCAAAGGAGAAGGUCCAUCCGCACAACGAAGGACCCUGGAAUUCCACCACGAGCCGCCAUCGAAGGCGACAAUAUGCCUGAGUCGCGCCUCCCACGGUGUCUCCAUUCUUGCCGCCAUGAGGUCAUUACCAAUGCUCAAGACUCAGAACGUUCUCACCCCAAGACCGAGUGAUCUGCGAUAAGAAAAGAGUAAGAAGCUUGAAGCUUCUUAUUGCUCGCGUUAUAUGAAUAUGAGAAGGAAUUGGGAAAGAAUUUCCCUUCUGCGAUGUGGGGUCUUCCCCUGGUUCGAUUAUGAAUCCAAUUUCAGACCCUUCUUUAGGGUCUCAAACUCAGUGCCCCC
Molecule: long non-coding RNA, 1213 nt
Filed under: Vigna radiata
Lineage: Eukaryota; Viridiplantae; Streptophyta; Magnoliopsida; Fabales; Fabaceae
Description: long non-coding RNA (VRAD_LNC014570)
Source: RNAcentral